This is an RNA transcript of Sapajus apella (tufted capuchin), 1453 nucleotides long. RefSeq lists it as uncharacterized. NCBI's taxonomy places the organism in Eukaryota, Metazoa, Chordata, Mammalia, Primates, Cebidae. The transcript is spliced from 2 exons. The record is from RefSeq and is a predicted model, not a curated record.
AUGGACCCAUCCACUUUUUCCCCAGCCUAUAUCAUUGGUACAACCUUCAUUGAAUGCCAAAUCCAGACACUGUCAGUAGCCAAGGAGGAGAAGGCUGCUUCCCAUAUAUUCACACCAAAGUGGUUUAGAUCUCAAUUGGGUGACAGCCCGUACCAGGCCACCCUGCAGGCUUAUAAUCCACUCAUACACUCAACUUUCUCCAUAAUGGCUUUAUUCUUUUCCUCCAAGGUUCAAAAUCACCAUGACUUCUCCCCCACAAAAAACAAAACAAAACAAAAACAACAACAACAACACCAAAAAACCUGACUCUGAAUCAUCACUCCUGGCCCCUAAAUAUUGGCCAUAAUUGGGUAGGCAAGAGGUAUCUGGUAUGUCUGGGUGGAAGAGUUCUUUCUCUUGUCUCCCUGAUGAUCGUUUUCAGAACACGUGGCCAUCCUUCCAAUGGCUUUGAGUAUCACAUCAUCACCAGAAAGACCUGUCUGUGUGCCUGUCCACUGCCAUCCUCCUACUCCCGGGAUUGUGGCUUAUGGGCACUCGCUCACCCUUGAACAUGGCUUGUUCACUCCAGUUCUCCCUUUCCAAAUGUUCUCAAUCCCCUGGGCUAUGCCGCAAGGGGGAUUCAGCCCUUGCCCACCGGCUAUGGUCUGAAUGUUUGUGUCUCCCUCACAUUAAUAUGUUGAAAUUUAACAUGUGAUGGUGUAAGAAGGUGGGGACUUUGGGGCUUUAUUAGGUCCUGAAGGGGUAGCCUCAUAAAAGAGGCUGCCUUGUCCCCCCACCAUAUGAAGUACCAUCUAUGAUGCAGAAACAGGCCCUCACCAGACAUCAAAUCUGCUGGUUCCUUGAUCUCAGACUUCGCAGUCUCCAGAACUGUGGGAAAUACAUUUCCGUUGUUUAUGAGCCACCCAGUUUAAGGCAUUUCAUUAGAGCAACCCAAAUGGACGAGGCCACCACCACAGUGAGGGGAGAGCUGGCUGAAUUGUGCAUGUCUGUGCUGUGUCCCAAUAAAAGCACCAUAAUCAAUGAACAUUGAUUCUGCAAUCCAUGUCUGAAGGUCAAAGGAGUUGGGAAAGGGGGGAUCCUGAAGCCAAGGAAAAGCACUGUACUCCCCAAAACUCUGCCAGCCAGGUUUACCUUUUGCAAGAUGCUAAAGAUCGAGAUGUUUUAGUUUUGCUUCUAGCUCCGUAAGCCCCACUCAAGCUCCAAUUUUGAUAUCUGCUUCUGGAUUCCUUAGUGCGGGCCCCUCCCAGGCUCCCUUCUGUUUCUGUUCUUUUUUUCUAGCAUCAUCCUUGGCUUUUCUUCUCCCUUAGGUUUGACCUCCUGUCUCCUGGGUUGAGUAACUGUCCCCUCUGGCUCCUGACCCGCUGUGGUCCCUCCAAAGCCCUCUCUACAGGCCUUUGGCCACACAGAGGCUCAACAAUCUAAUCAUCUUAAUAAUCUAAAAUUGUAAGUGCCA